RNAcentral lists this ribosomal RNA (253 nucleotides) under uncultured bacterium. Its description in RNAcentral is "partial 16S ribosomal RNA". It matches the Rfam family "Bacterial small subunit ribosomal RNA", at positions 524 to 776 of the family's 1533-position model. The record is from RNAcentral.
UACGUAGGGGGCAAGCGUUGUCCGGAUUUAUUGGGCGUAAAGAGCGUGUAGGCGGCUUUACAGGUCCGUUGUGAAAACUCGAGGCUCAACCUCGAGACGCCGGUGGAAACCGUAAGGCUAGAGUCCGGAAGAGGAGAGUGGAAUUCCUGGUGUAGCGGUGAAAUGCGCAGAUAUCAGGAAGAACACCUAUGGCGAAAGCAGCUCUCUGGGACGGUACUGACGCUGAGACGCGAAAGCGUGGGGAGCGAACAGG